UGGGGAAUCUUGGACAAUGGGGGCAACCCUGAUCCAGCCAUGCCGCGUGAGUGAAGAAGGCCUUAGGGUCGUAAAGCUCUUUCAGCUGGGAAGAUAAUGACGGUACCAGCAGAAGAAGCCCCGGCUAACUCCGUGCCAGCAGCCGCGGUAAUACGGAGGGGGCUAGCGUUGUUCGGAAUUACUGGGCGUAAAGCGCGCGUAGGCGGGCUGUUAAGUCGGGGGUGAAAUCCCGGGGCUCAACCCCGGAACUGCCUCCGAUACUGGCAGCCUAGAGGAUGAGAGAGGCGAGUGGAAUACCGAGUGUAGAGGUGAAAUUCGUAGAUAUUCGGUGGAACACCAGUGGCGAAGGCGGCUCGCUGGCUCAUUUCUGACGCUGAGGUGCGAAAGCGUGGGGAGCAAACAGGAUUAGAUACCCCCGUAGUCC
RNAcentral lists this ribosomal RNA (424 nucleotides) under uncultured prokaryote. RNAcentral describes it as "bacterial SSU rRNA". It matches the Rfam family "Bacterial small subunit ribosomal RNA", at positions 355 to 796 of the family's 1533-position model. The record is from RNAcentral.